UACGGAGGGUGCGAGCGUUGUCCGGAAUCACUGGGCGUAAAGGGCGCGUAGGCGGCGCGGGGAGUCAACGGUGAAAGCUCGGCGCUCAACGCCGAGUCGGCCGUCGAUACUCCCGUGCUUGAGCACUGUAGAGGCAGGUGGAAUUCCGGGUGUAGCGGUGGAAUGCGUAGAGAUCCGGAAGAACACCGGUGGCGAAGGCGGCCUGCUGGGCAGUAGCUGACACUGAGGCGCGACAGCGUGGGGAGCAAACAGG
RNAcentral lists this ribosomal RNA (253 nucleotides) under uncultured bacterium. RNAcentral describes it as "partial 16S ribosomal RNA". It matches the Rfam family "Bacterial small subunit ribosomal RNA", at positions 524 to 776 of the family's 1533-position model. The record is from RNAcentral.